AGGACGAACGCUGGCGGCGUGCUUAACACAUGCAAGUCGAGCGAGGCCCUGUCUUCGGACUAGGUGCCCUAGCGGCGAACGGGUGAGUAACACGUGGGCAACCUGCCCCUAGCACUGGGGAUAACCCCGGGAAACCGGGGCUAAUACCGGAUAUGACCUCCGAGGGCAUCCUCGGUGGUGUAAAGGAUUCUGGCUAGGGAUGGGGCCCGCGGGCCUAUCAGCUUGUUGGUGGGGUAACGGCCUACCAAGGCGUCGACGGGUA
Molecule: ribosomal RNA, 262 nt
Filed under: uncultured bacterium
Lineage: Bacteria
Description: partial small subunit ribosomal RNA
Rfam family: Bacterial small subunit ribosomal RNA
Source: RNAcentral